GGGGGAAGAGAAGGGAGAAGAGCCAGGCGUGUAGUCAUGGCGAUUGAAGGGGGAGUAGUCACGGGGGAUGGGAACAGCCUUUUGAAUUGUCUACUUACUACCUAAGGGUCAGGUUAAGUGUCUUCUGCGCACGCGCGACGUAAUGCUGUAACCCACCUUGAGCCGUGAGGAGAGGCAGGCAAGAAAUAAAACUAUGAUUAUUAUUAUUA
Long non-coding RNA from Anolis carolinensis (green anole), 209 nucleotides. RefSeq lists it as uncharacterized. The record is from RefSeq and is a predicted model, not a curated record. NCBI's taxonomy places the organism in Eukaryota, Metazoa, Chordata, Lepidosauria, Squamata, Anolidae. The transcript is spliced from 2 exons.